This 459-nucleotide ribosomal RNA is filed under the name uncultured bacterium. Its description in RNAcentral is "SSU rRNA". It matches the Rfam family "Bacterial small subunit ribosomal RNA", at positions 26 to 518 of the family's 1533-position model. The record is from RNAcentral.
AGAAUCAACGCUGGCGGCGUGCCUAACACAUGCAAGUCGCACGAGAAAGGGGAGCAAUCCCUGAGUACAGUGGCGCACGGGUGAGUAACACGUGAAUGAUCUACCUCCGAGUGGGGAAUAACUGAGAGAAAUCUUGGCUAAUACCGCAUAAUACCCACGGGUCAAAGCAGCAAUGCGCUUGGAGAGGAGUUCGCGGCCGAUUAGCUAGUUGGCGGGGUAAUGGCCCACCAAGGCGAUGAUCGGUAUCCGGCCUGAGAGGGCGCACGGACACACUGGAACUGAAACACGGUCCAGACUCCUACGGGAGGCAGCAGUGGGGAAUUUUGCGCAAUGGGGGAAACCCUGACGCAGCAACGCCGCGUGGAGGAUGAAGCCCCUUGGGGUGUAAACUCCUUUCGAUCGGGAAGAUAAUGACGGUACCGAUAUAAGAAGCCCGGCUAACUUCGUGCCAGCAGCCGC